Molecule: ribosomal RNA, 618 nt
Filed under: Umbonium costatum
Lineage: Eukaryota; Metazoa; Mollusca; Gastropoda; Trochida; Trochidae
Description: partial 12S ribosomal RNA
Source: RNAcentral
GACAAACAGAUCGAGUUAAGAUUUUUGGUAUAAAAGGAGGUUAAGCGUUAGAUUGAUUAAGGAAAAUUUAUUUUUUAGUAUAGGGGUGGAAUCUGCAUAUUAAUUGAUUUAUUUUUAUUUUCUUUUACUGAUGCCUCGAGAUUUUUGUAGGAGACCGGGAUUAGAUACCCCGUUAUUUUAAGUAUAAACAGUGGUUAUUAAUGUAAUUUACCUGAGUAUUACGAGCUGAAAGUUAAUUUCAGAAGCUUAAAACUCAAAAAACUUGGCGGUGCCUUAAUUCCUUCCAGGGGAACCUGUCCUGUAAAUGAUAGUCCACGAUUUAGCUUACUUUUUUUUUGUAUUUUACCUGUAAGGUUGAACAGCUUGUAUACCGUCGUCGUCAGAGAACCUUUGAAAGAUAAGUAGUUUUCAGUAUAAGUGGAUUAGUAAUUGCUGUCAUAGUAGAAUUAUAUUAAUUUUUAGAUGUCAGAUCAAGGUGCAGCUAAUAGGAAAGUAGAGAUGGGUUACAUUAUUAGGUUAAUAUACGGAUUUUAGGUUGUAAUACCUAAGUGAAGGCGGACUUGGGAGUAAUUUAAUAGUUAAAUAGUGAGUUUAUGUGAAAAGGGUACUAAGGUGCGU